GCCUUGGCGAGGUUAAGGGAAUUUCUAAGGACAUACCACUGACUGGAUCUCACCCGAGGGCACGGUUUUCCGUGUAGCCCUUUCUCAUGGUCCUCCGGGCACACUGGCCUAGAUAUGGGGUGCCUGGCUAAACCUCAACUCUUGUUAAAUCCAACUCUCUGCUCUCUCCUUGAAUCUGAGCUUGAUGCUGAAUGUGAUUGGGGAAGAAGAAAAGGAUGCUUAUGGGUCACACAGGUGGAAUCCAUGCUGCUUAACAAGCAUCUCUUUUCUAGACAGCUAUUUCAGACCUUAUUCUCUCUCCUCAUACCUCUAAGACUCUCCUUCCCCUCUCUUUCAAUGGAUAAACUUGAUUCCUCUUUCAAGGAGAAAUCUUAAACAAAACAAGAGGAAACUUC
Molecule: non-coding RNA, 395 nt
Organism: Kogia breviceps (pygmy sperm whale)
Lineage: Eukaryota; Metazoa; Chordata; Mammalia; Artiodactyla; Physeteridae
Source: RefSeq, a predicted model, not a curated record